CCGCCCCUUUUACCCAAAAACUAUAGGUUGGCCGCCCCCUUUCUAUCUCCCUUAACCCUCACUGUUUGGAUAGCUAUUCAAAGUUUAUCUUCUUCCUUACUCUCUUAAAAUCUAGCUUUAAACCUCUAUUUAGUCCAUAGCGCUAUCAAAGCUUUCAUUUUUUUUUUGUGUCCGCAUUUGACGAUCUCCCGAAAGAGCUGAGCCAAAGUCGGAGAUAGUAGAUCUUCUUGACGACGUCGUGGUUCACUGCCCACAAAAAGGUCAAUAAAUUUCUCUUCUUGUGUGUACAUAGAAAUCAUGUGUAGGGAUUGUGUGUAUUCUGACUUAAUUGAAUAGGAAUACAACUAAGUACCUAGAGGAAUAAAUUUAUAAUGGUUAAUACAAUAAUUGUUAAUUUUAAGGCUCUUUCUUAAAACACUACUAUAUGUGCUUUUUGUGUUUCAAUUGAUAAGUUAGAGUAUUUGUUUCUUUUCCAGCAUGUAUAAAAUAAAAUUUUGUCUCUAUUCCGUGAGUCAAAUUACGGCUUAGGUACCUUUUUAUGUGUUCGAGACGGCGCUUUAAGUUUAAUGUUUCUCUAAUUUAAAUAUCAUAAGAAAAAUGAUGUUAUUAAUUACCUCCAUGUCUAGUUGAAUGAUCUCCUUAUUUAGUAGAUAUAUUACAGGACUAGCUUUAAACAGAUUUUUGUAUCUAAAGAAUCAUAAAAGUUUGCUGGUUAGAUUUUGUAUACAAGUAGAGAUUGUGCUUACGAGUGACUUAUCUCACAGCUUAGGUUGAAAGUUUUAACAAAGCGCUAGCAUAUUUAGUCCUUAACUUGUGUAUUUGAUUAAUGGAUUUGACUUAUUACAUCUAGUUAAAGAUAAGGAAUAUUAUCAUAAUGGUGUUUCUGGCAAGCAGUUUGAUAUGAUAAAGCUAUAUCAACUGUUGGUAAGCUUGAAUUUUAAGUCAUAAUUUUUACAUACUUGCAACUAGGAUUAAGAAUGGACGUUUGGGUUAAAUAGUUCAAAUAUCAAUUUGAUGCCUAAUGACUGUCUUUACAAAGCUAAGUUGAUGUCUAAAUAUGGCCCUAUAUAUUUCUUGAAAAGUACAGUAGCUUAGUUACAGUUUCUUUUUCUAUUCAUAUUGUAGAGGAUAAUCGCCAAAAUUAGAAGCCCUAUUUUUAGGAUUUUAUUUGAGAGUUUAGAUACCAUAUUCAUAGGUUUAAUGUUUACUUUUGGAACUGAAUAGCUUUGCAGGUUUUGAGAAUAAUUUAAAUUUUAUUUUAUAAUUUGUUUAGAUUGUGAGAAGUGAGUUAGUUAAGGAUGUGUAUUUGCAAUGCCAGCAUCUCACAUCUCGGGUGCUCUUUUCUUUUUUUUGUGAAUUGAAGAUUUAUAUAAUGCUGUAGAUAUCUUAUAUUGUUAAGAAUCAUAUAGUUUCUCUAAUUCUUUAUUUUUCCCUUUCUUUGCAUGUACACUUUGGAGUAAAUGGAGUGUCUUAAUUUGAGACUCUCACAGUGGAGUCGCAUAGAGACUCAACGCUACUACCACCACAUGGAGUCAUUGCAUACCAUAUUCUUUAGACGCACCGGAUAGUGAGAAAAACAAGCUAAACACUUUCAUUUCUUUUCUUUGUCAUUCAUGCUAUUUGACUUUUACUUGUGAUUUGAGUUAUCUCCAAUUUCUGGGAUUAUGUGUUAAAAUGCGUGUUAGCGUAGUAUGUUUAAUUAUGUAGAAUCUUACUUUUAUUAUUUAUUUGGUACUAUCUUAUUCACGUAAAUUUAGCCUCUAAUAUAAGGACUUAGAAUCAGUUUUUAAAGUGACGCUUCAAAACCUUUUUCAUCAAAUUAUUUUCUAUUGGCCUUGUGUUAAACUUUCGUAAACACGAGAUUUUUAAGUCCAACGAAAUGAAUUCUAAAGUAUGUAUAUGAAACUAUUUUCGUAAGUCCUAACCUUUUGAAGAACGAUUUCAAUUGUUGGGUUUGUCAAGUUACUAUGGGGUUUAAACAUUUUCCUAGAAGUUAAGUCAAAACAAUUUAUAUCUUGAGUUUGAAAUGCUUUAAAGUACUAUCUUUUUUUCAGAAACAUCUAUAUAGUUUUGUAAUGACUCACUUCUUCAACACUAACACUAGUAUACAUGUAUUCUCUAAUUGACAAUCGUUUUUCUUGACAAACGUUUAACACUAAGUCUUGAAAUUAAUUAACCUAAGUUUGGCCAGUUAACCAUAUUUAAUGGGUCAUAUAGAGUGCUUAAUACCUUCUCUAUAAGAUCAAUUAGAACCCUUACCCGUAGUCUUAAAGGUUAAGUAGACCAUAGAACAGAGUUAACUUUAAGCACUACCUAGCUAAAAUUGGUGUCCUAAUUCACCAUUAAACCAAUUAGGUGGCGACUCUCUUUAAUUAAUUAAACCUUUAGAAUUACCAAUAUUAUACUCUAAUUUGACCCGUGUUAAAAUGGGGUAUAACAUAUUCAGGAUAGGCUUCGUACAACUCAGUCUCCGUUUGGCGAAUCUUCUUUCGGGGAAUUCAACUCUUCUUUCAUAGAUUGGGAACAUAAUAAGCACCAGUAGCCUAUUGAGUUAGAUGAGCUAGAUGACUUUCAUUAGCUCCUAGCGCAGCAUAUCUGAAUUCACUAUAGGGUUAAGAGUGACUUACUUACACUGCUGAAUAACCUUCACUUUAGCGAGCUGUAGGACAAACUACAUUCAAUAGGAGAAAGGAAAUUUUGAAUAGAAGGAUCACUGCCCGUAGCAGUCCUGGAGUUAGGUUAUGAUGGUCGUGAUGAGCUCUACUAGAAAGAAAAUCUCUUCUAUUCAUAGAUGAAGUCCUAUCUAAGGGCCUUCGUUGCCCUUGAAUUCCGUUCCCUAGUUCAAUCCGGAACUCCAGAUGUGUAAGUAGCGGCCAAGCGGCUCUGUCCUUUUCAAAGAGGUUAUCCUUCUCUCUCCCCGCUUCUUAGUCUUAUAGGAUAGCUUACUAUUCAAGUAAGUCACUUUACCCGGCGCUUAUUGUCUUCUUUCUAGCCUAAUUGGUAGCAGUCCCUUUUUAGUACCACCUUUCCUUUUCUUCUCUUUCAGCAGCCUCGUAGGCCAGCUGAAGACCGAAUAAAGCAGUUCAAGCCCGCUUGAGAUCUAUCCAAGACCUAGCCGAUGGCUACUUCCAAUUCAAGUGCCACUUAUCUUAACACACUCGGGCUAAACCGUUCGUGAAUUUGUCUUUUAUGGUCGGUGAGCGGGUAUUGCUUCGAGUGUCACCUAUGAAGGGCAUGAUGAGAUUCGGGAAGAAGAGCAAGCUUAGCCCUAGGUUCAUUGGCCCGUUCGAGAUUCUUGUUCGAGUGGGAGAGGUGGCUUAUAGGCUUGCGUUGCCGCCAAGCUUAACAGCCGUGCAUCCAGUGUUUCAUGUGUCCAUGCUUCGGAAGUAUCACGACGAUCCAUCCCACGUGUUAGAUUUCAGCACUGUCCAGUUGGACAAGGACUUAUCUUAUGAGGAGGAGCCGGUAGCUAUUCUAGACCGGCAGGUUCGUCAGUUGAAAUCGAAUAGUUUUCCUUCUGUUCAUGUUCAGUGGAGAGGUCAGUCUGCUGAGGCAUCGACCUGAGAGUCCGAGUCCGACAUGCGGAACCGUUAUCCCCAUCUUUUCCCUGACUCAGGUACUUCCUUCUUAUGUCCGUUCGAGGACGAACGGUUGUUUUAGAAAUGGAGAAUGUGGGUCACUUGUUUUAGAAAUAAAUUCUGCAUUAUGAGGCCUUAAAAACCUCUUUCAGCAUUACUUCAAUUUGCGUACGCAGUCCGGGCUCGUAUCCGGAAAGCCAUUAUGUGAAAAUCUGCGAAAAAUAAUAAAUUUUGACUUUAAAAUGAAUUUAAGUUGACUUCGGUCAACAUUAUGGGUAACAGACCCGGACCCAUGAUUUGAUGAACCCUGAGGGUCCGUAGGAAAAUGUGAGACUUGGGCGUAUGCCCCGAAUCGAAUUCCGAGGUCCCAAACUCGAGAAAUAAAUUUUUAAAGAAAAUUAUUUUCUAAAAUUAUUUAUGAGUUUUGGAAAUGAAUGUGUUUAAAAUUUGAUGGUAUCAGGCCCGUAUUCUAGUUCCGGAGCCCGGUAGAGGUCUUAUAUGUGAUUUAAGUUGAAUCUGUAAAAUUUGGUAAGAAACAGACUUGAAAUGACGUGAAUCAGACUGUAUUUGAGAAAAUUGGAAAAUAUGAAGUUCUUAAGUGAUUUCAUGAUUCUGAUGCUAAAUUCAUAGUUGUUGAUGUUAUUUUGGCGAUUUGAUCGCACGAGUAAGUCCGUAGGGUGUUUUUUGAGGUAGUGUGCAUGUUUGGUAUGGAGCCCCGAGGGCUCGGGUGAGUUUCGGAUAGGCGUCAGAAGGUUUUUGAACUUAGGAAAAUUGCAGAAACUGUUGUUUGCUGGUGUCCAGGUCCUUGUGUUAUGCGAUCGCAUAGGUAUGUUCGCGAUCGCAUUGUGUAAUUUCAGGGGGGCCUAUUUUGUGCUAUGUGAUUGCACAGCUUCUUCCGCGAUCGCAUAAAGUAAAUUCUGGAGGGUCACCAGUUGUUCUAUGUGAUUGCAAUGCUUCUUCCGCUAUAGCAAUGGGUUAAACCAAGCCUGGGAAGGGAACCAUUUUUCCUCUAUGCGAUUGCACUCCCUAGUUUGCGAUCGCAGUGCCCAAUCCCCCUCACCCUAUGCGAUCGCACACCCUUGUUCGCGAUUGCAUAGGCCAAUUUUGCCCAGUCUUUUAAACAGUAACAGAACAUACGAGAUUUAACCCAAAAUCCAUAACUUCUUCUUCCAAACUUCAAAUUGGGCGAUUUUUUAAAGAGAACUUACCACAAAUUCAUAGGUAUGUAAUCUUAGACUCGUUUUCUUCAAUUUGAAUUAACACCCAUUAAAUUUCUAGGCCUAAAUCAUGUUCUUAAGGUUAGAAAAUUAGGUUAUUAAGGUUAGAAAAUUAGGUUAUUAAGGGUAGAAAGUUAGGGCUUUUUUGUAUAAAUGAAAUUUAGACCUCGUUUUGGGGUCGGAUUUCGAAACUAAUUGCAUAUUAGGGCUCGUGGGUGAAUGUGUGAUCGGAUUUUGGUCCGAACCUCGUAUUUUGACCAAGCGGGCCCAUGGUCGAUUUUUGACUUUUUGGGAAGAAUGAUAGGAAAUCUAUAAUUAAGCAUUGGAAUUGCAUUGUUUAGCGUUUAUUGAUGUUGUUAAAUCAAUUUGGGCUAGAUACGAGUUGUUUGGAGGUGAAUUCUAAAGGAAAAGCGGUGUUUGAGGCUUGAGUUUGCCAUGGAAGUUCGAGGUAAUUGUUUGGUCUAACCUUAGCUUGAGGGAUUAGGAGUUGUGUUCUAUUUGCUACGUGUUACUUGUUGAGUACGACAUAUAGGCAUGGUGACGAGUAUCUAUACGUUGGUGUCAAGCAUGAUCGUGAGUCUUAAAUUGAAAUUGUUGUGUUCUUAACAAAUACUACGAAUGCCUAAGUUGUUGAUUCUAUGUGUGGAGCAAGGAUUAUGAUUAUUCUCGUGGAAAUUACUUAUGAUUGAGUAUUGGUGCUAGUUGAGGAAGUUAGAUGUUGGAACAAGUUUGGUUAUAACUGAUUUUCCGUUGCCGGGACGUAUUUACUUAUACUUUCGAUUCCCUUGUCGGGAUAGUGUUUUCUUUAUUGAUCCCUUGCCGAGACUCUCUUUGUGAUUGGUAUUGAACGCCGCAAUAAUAUUAUAUUUGGAUCGGGUUGCAUGCCGCAACAAUAAUAUAAUUGGAUCGGGUUGCACGUCGCAACAGUGAUAAAUGAUAUGGAUCGGGUUGCACGCCGCAUGUUGUGUUUUUAUGAUUUGGAUCGGGUUGCACGCCGCAACAAUAGAUAAUAAAAGUACUUGUUGAUUGGUUACGAGUCCCUUAUUCUGUUGCUGUGAAUUUUAAAUUGUUCUUUAUGUUUUUUCUCUCUUAAAUUACUGUUGGUAAAUGAUACUCCCCCGCAACAUGUCCCCUCCCAUCUUUAAUUGUUUAUUUCUAUUUUAUUUUCUGCAAUAUAUUAUAUAACUGCACAGAUUUAUCUAAUAGUCUGGUCCUAGCCUCGUCAUUACUUCGUCGGGGUUAAAGCCAGACACUUACUAGCACAUGGGGUCGGUUGUCCUGAUACUACACUCUGCACUGUGUGCAGAUCUCGGAGCGGCAACUUUUGGACCAUAGGUUUGGGUGGCUGCCUUCAGUCCAGUCAGAAAUCCCGAGGUAGUCCUGCAGGCGUCCGCAGGCCCCGAUGUUCUCUUCUAUCUUUAUAUACUGUUUUCAUUUACUUCAGAGACAGAUUGUAUCUUUCUUUCCAGAUAAUUGUUUAUAGUAUUCGUAGAUGGUCCAUGAUAUUGUGACAUCAGUUCCGUGUACAGAUGUACUUGGUAUUGUCGUACCUGUUUUUGGCUAAGUUAUCAGAUUACGUCUUCCGCA
This 6382-nucleotide long non-coding RNA is filed under the name Nicotiana tabacum (common tobacco). Its description in RNAcentral is "long non-coding RNA (NTAB_LNC011846)". Lineage: Eukaryota; Viridiplantae; Streptophyta; Magnoliopsida; Solanales; Solanaceae. The record is from RNAcentral.